This is a long non-coding RNA of Mandrillus leucophaeus (drill), 493 nucleotides long. RefSeq lists it as uncharacterized. The record is from RefSeq and is a predicted model, not a curated record. The transcript is spliced from 2 exons. Lineage: Eukaryota; Metazoa; Chordata; Mammalia; Primates; Cercopithecidae.
GAAUCACUCCCGCCGUCUCGGGCCUCCGGGUCCUCCCCGCUGGGCUCCAGUCUUACCUGAGGGCUGCCUUUGUCCCCUGGAGAACGCUGAGCAAAGUGAGUGCUUUCCAGAGCGGGCUCUCCAGCCCCCAGGGGUCCCUGUGCUGACAGCAGUAGCCAGGUCUUUCUCAGUACUGAGUGGUAUCUGCGUCCUAAAGAUACUUUGUUUCAGAAUUUCAUCCUUUCACUUUUUAAGUUCUCUGGGCUAGUGUAGAUACUUUGUUUCAGAAUUUCAUCUUUUCAUUGUGUAAGUCCCUUGGGGCCAGCAUAGCUUCCCCGGGUGAGCUGGACCCUGCGGGUGAAGCCUCCCUGUUCAGCCUCUGCCUUUCCUGACGUUCUCAGAGAACAAAGGGCUGUGUGAGGCGGGGCAGCUCAUGAAUAAUUUUUUAUGUAGAAGACUUGUUGAAAUAAUAUUUUGGAUAUGUGGGGUUAAAUAAAAUAUAAAGUUAAGUCUG